UUUAUUAUUUAUUUAUUUAUAUAUUUUAAAAGAAACUCUUAUAUACUAUUUAGUGGAAUACUCUGUGGGAUCAAAGAAAAAGUGGCUUAUCUAGGACUUUAGAUGUAGAAGCACAUCAGCAAAAAUUUGAAAAACAAAAGCCAAAUAAAACUACGCAGUGUGAGAAUUGGUUCGUUCCUUUGUUAACCAGGAGUGAACCAGGACACUUGCCCAAGGGAUGUUCUUCUGCCCAUGUGUCAGGCCUGGGAGGGUGCUAAGGUAGAUGAUUCCACAGACCUAAUCUCAGCAGAGACUGGGGUCAGGUGGUCAUUCAGCAUGAAGUGAAAGAACAGCAUCCUUGGCAGCAAAGUUUUUACAAAACCAACUUAAGCAAUUAGCAAUAAGGUGUUGUAAAAGUAUUUGAAUCUAUGGCAACAUCCUUGAAAAAAUUAGUGAAGAAGAUUCCUGCAUGUGGAGGGCAAGCACUGUAUCUUUGUGUAGCACCGAGUGCAUCAUCAGCACUACAUAACUGGCAGCUAUUGUUUUAUACAUACAUUUCUUUUAUCUAAAGCUCAGCUAUUGGGGCAGCCCCGGUGGCUCAGCGAUUUAGUGCUGCCUUCAGCCCAAGGUGUGAUCCUGGAGACCUGGGAUCGAGUCCCCCAUCAGGCUCCCUGCAUGGAGCCUGCUUCUCCCCUUGCCUGUGUCUCUGCCUCUCUCUCUCUCUCUCUCUCUGUGUCUCUCAUGAAUAAAUAAAAUCUUAAAAAAAAAUCAGCUAUUUGUCUCAGUUGCAAGGCAAAAUGAAUAUACAUUUGUACUGCUCAUUUCCUAAACCAUCAUCUAAUGAAGACAAAGUCCCUAUAGAAAACUCUGAAUAACCAGCACCGUAUAAUAAUUCCUCCAUAAAUAUUUGGUCAAGUUGAAUAGGAUUUUUUAGAAGCCAAACCCCUUAACAGCCUCAACCUCUCAGAAAUUCGGGGGGGGGGGGGGAGUCUGAAAAUGAGUACAGUCACCAUAAAAUCCCUCCAUUCAAGCCAGACUUUUGUGUCUCAUCUGUACCUUUCCUGAUUUGCCUGGCAUUCUGAUAUUAGUCAUAUAGUCCUUAGAAUGGAUUCUUUAUUUCCUGGGCACAGCAGAUGGGAAGCAAAGAUCUAAAUGAUGCUAGGGGACUGUGGCAAAGGACGAAACAGCAGCUGAUGACCUAAUGGGUAAAAUUCACAAGCACGUCCCACCAGGCAGAGGGACACCUAUUAGCUUGUGUGACACAAGGAAACAUUAAAUAACACAUACCACUUUUUUUAAAUAAGCAGGGAAUUGUGUAAUAUUUUAGAGAACCAUUGCUCUCAAACAAUGGAUGCCCUGGAGGCAACAACUUUCAGUUAUUUAGAAAAAACCACUUAGAUGUAAUUAUUCAUCAUUAUUAUUCUUAUUAGUUAAUAACACUCCUGUGCUGAUUUUUAAACUCCUCCCCUUCCACGUUCUUCUUAACCGUCUCUCUCCUUUCUUUCCCCAACACUCCUCUAGCUUCCAAACCAGGGGACUGACUCAUCCCGGCUCGCCCAGAACGUUCCCAGUUUUAGCACUGUGAGCCCUGCAUCGGGGGAAACCCCUCUGUCCCGGCCAAACCAGGACAGUUGGUCACCCUACUCCAGAAGCGGGCACUGUGAGAGUAUUAUUGCACUGGUGCUUUGCACGUAUUACCUUGUACUCAUGCAAUUUUUAAAGUCGUGUUCACAAUCCUCCUAUAGUGGCUGAAAUCAUCAGGUUCCCUAGAGUCCUUGACCUGAACUCUUUUGAAAAUUUAAAAAAAAAAAAAAAAAAGGGCUCUGGCUUCUUGAAAUAUGCUGAUCAUGGACUUGGUUCUUCACUUAACGUGGGUAGAGCUAGCCUUCAUUUAUUUAGGUAUUUGUUUAUGAAAUUUGGGAAGGAAAACUGAUGGACUUAAUCUGUUCUGCCAGUUUUAAGAUGGAAACUUUGAGUGGGAAAUUUGUUUUUGAUUCUUCGCAGGUGUGAUCUGGGUUGCUGCUUCAGAAGGCCAGUAUCUGGAGGUUUUGUCCAACUGUGACUGAAAAGAAGCCUAAGCAGGACAAUGAGAUCCCACCUCUACUUUUUCUUUUUGCAUAUAUAUUUAAUAACUUUUUUUUUAAAGUAAAGGUGAGGCCCAUAUAGCAUUCAACUCACUGCCUGGAGGUACAAUUAUAUAUUUUGCUCAGUGGGACCAAUCCCCAAGGAGAUCCUGUUACACCUUUGGCUCCCUACAGUGGGAAGAGAGCUGAAGUGUAUGACGUGGUAGGGGGCCUGUGACCUGGUUAGUAAAGGAGCUUUGUGGUUGCACCUGGAGACAGGACUAAGCAAUUCUCAGCUAAUUGAAAUUAAUCUGAAGUUUGAAAUUUACCCAAAUCCCACAAUCAGUGCUUAAAUUUGUCCAGUCUACCUUUUGUGAGUUGUUCCCUCUCUUUAAGAACUGGAUGAGAAAUGGAGGAGCAGGUUUUGAAGGAGGUCGAAAUCCUGGCCUGAUGUGUCCCGUGUGAAGAAAAAGAAUGCAUUUUCAUCAUGUAGGAAAAUAAAAACUAAGAAGCCAUGGGGUAAAUGAUGGGCUUUUACCAAGAAUGCUUCUAAAUGGAAAGCAGAGUAUUGAUAAAAAGCAAAGCCCAGGGGUGCCUGGGUGCCCCGUUAUAAGUAAAGUUUUAUUGAAACACAGCCACACCAUUUGUUUUCAUAUUAUCAGUGAUUGCUUUUGCACUACAAGGGCACAGUUGAGACAGACUCUCUGUUCUGCAGAGCCAAACAUAUUUACCAUCUGACCCUCCACUUUUACCAAUUCCCGACUCACAGUACAAGGAGAAUAAUAUCCUAAUCGCGUGGGGGUGGGUGGGUUGAGAUAACAUAUCAGGCGGGACCCUAUACAAGAUUGGGCUCCGUAAAGGAUGACUAUUAUCAUUAAACAGAGACUCAAAAUCUAAAGCUUAUCAUAUGUCUUAUGAUCAGUUUUGUUUGCUUGCUUGUUUUCUACCCUCCGUCUACCUGCGCCACUCCAUCCAAAAACAAAAUAUGAGCUUGACUUCCUCUAACUUGGAUUAAGCUAAUCUGCCACCACACCACACCUCCCUGUUCAGGCAAUUUCUAUGGCUUUAUUCAUCCCAACUCUCAGCACUUAGGUCCUGUUGUUUGGGAGCAUUUGCUUCGCAUCUCAGCGAUGCUACAGUAACCAUACAGGAAGCCCGCAGAUUCUUGCACCACUUUGUCUUCAGUUUUUAAUUUUUUAUUUAGAAAUAAUAAAAUAAGACAUAAUAUAUAAAAAUAUGUACAAUCCAUGGUUUGUGCAGUACAAUAGGAAGACUUUUAGAUACAAAAAGACGGCAAACGGGAAAAUAAUGACUAUCACGAUUGUCAAAGGCCGGGGUUGUUCAACUCGCCAGAGCCCAGAGCUGAAACCCAACGUAACUAGAAAAGAGAUUCUAGUCAGGAGUGGGGAGGUGACUAUGCAACACUUUUAUUUUUCACCUUAACAUUAUUAGACAGAGCGAAGGAGAGCUCACUCUGCUCCUCAGAACAAGCUUUUUGCCUUUACUGAGUGGCUUAUUAUAAAACAUGAGCUGACAUUUGUCAUUUGCAAAGGUAACAUGAUUUGGGGGACAGAGCUCAUCAAAUAGACAAUAUAGGGAAGAAAGGAAGUGAAAAGAAGAAAUAAUGCAUUAAUAGUUUUUU
This 3684-nucleotide long non-coding RNA is filed under the name Canis lupus familiaris (dog). RNAcentral's name for it is "lncRNA (ENSCAFG00845005446.1)". The record is from RNAcentral. Lineage: Eukaryota; Metazoa; Chordata; Mammalia; Carnivora; Canidae.